RNAcentral lists this long non-coding RNA (33379 nucleotides) under Phoenix dactylifera (date palm). RNAcentral describes it as "long non-coding RNA (PDAC_LNC001568)". The record is from RNAcentral. Lineage: Eukaryota; Viridiplantae; Streptophyta; Magnoliopsida; Arecales; Arecaceae.
GUAAGAAUGUCAACAAAAAAAAGGAAAAGUGCAUAGAAAAGGUUCUGUUCAUAGGCUUGAGGGAGAGUGUUGAAUCCUUUUUCUCCCUUUGUGUUUCUUUUUUCAUAUUAUUGUUGUUUUUUUUGUUAGAUACGCUAAUGGGCCACAUUAGAACGACAUUAGAUCCCAUCCAUGUAAAGAACUGUACGUUUAAGGAGUGGUUGUUCAGCGUUAUGUUGGUCGUAUUGAUAGCUCUAUGAUCACUCAUUCUUGUAACAAAAAUGCCAUUCUGGCCUCAUCUUCUAUUUUGUCCCCUCCCCAUUCCCUUUUCCCUUCCUGCUUCUCUUUGCAACACAAUGCAAUUUCAUAUUCCUGUAAAAGAAUAGUCUGAAGGUAACUCGGAUCUAAGGCUCUGAGCACUAUUCCUUUUAGGAUGUGUAAAAUCUGGUUGAUGAUUCUUUUACAAUCAUCAUAUCAUAUUUAUACAGAUCUUGAGCAAAUGCAAAGUCUACUUCAUUUUUGAACUAAACCCAAAAUUAAGGUUACUUUUUCCUCCAAUUCACUCCCCCCCCCCCCUCCUCCUUAACUUGACCUUCUCCUCCCUUGCAAGGUCUAUUCUUCUUUCUCAAAGGUCCCUGUUACAUUAUUUUUUUUUUAUUUUUUUUGCUAAAGAAAAAGGAGAAGGGGGGAGGAAGGGACAAGCCCACCCCCGCGUAGCAGCCCCGACCACUGGGCCCCCACCCCGCCAGGAAAAUGUUCGAUGCGGGUAGACCGAGUCGUGUGUUGGGCACCCCGACCUAUUUUACUCAUACCCUCCCCACCCGUGGGCCGGCUCAGUUACCCGACCCGACCCUCCGUGUGAGUACGUCACACCUGGCACCACCCAGGCUACCAGCCAACCAGUAGCGCUUCCAGACCCCGUGUCCAGGCAUGGGGCAUCCGGUCCCCGAAUUUAAUCGACGCCCGCGCGUUUCGAACCUGGAACCACUUGGUUGGAAGCAAACGCUCCGUUCCAACUGGGCUACCACCUUGGUGGUGUCCCUGUUACAUUAUCCUCCAUUUUCUUUAUACCUAUACUACUGUUGCACAAUGGUUUAUGAGCAAGAAGUCAAUGAUAGAAGUGUUAGGAAGUGAAUGGUGUUUUUUAAACAUGUUCUCAAAAAAAUAAAAUAAAAUAAAUAAGCUCAUAUUUAGUAUAAUUGGUUAUGUUUUAAGUAUUGGCAACACUGAAACCUGUCAUGUACUUACAUGUCCAUGACUGAUACUGUCAGACACAUUUGGAGAACCCCAACAUAGUGGGGUAUCAUAUGAUGCUGCUAAGGCCCAAAGGAUGCACACGUUCUGUAUAAUAAUAUUAUGUGAUGUUGAUUAUAAAUUAAGUGUAAGAAUUCUGUUGUUUGAUGUUUUAUAAUAAGCAAAUUGCUUUUAUUAAUAUUUGUAACAUUAAUUUGGUUGCAGGAUAUUAACAUUUUUGUCAAACUUCUUUUCAUUUGCAACACAAAGGAUAUAGCUUGAAACAAUGAAUUGUGGAAAAUGGAUUCAUAAAUAUGUUCCCAGAUGGGAUAACCUGCGUUGGUUUACACAUGCAAAACUGGUCCAGCCUAAAUGAUAGACAUGCUUAUUUAUAUGCGAAUCAGAAUCCUAAAUGGAUGAUAGUUACUGAUGAAUCAUGCAUCAUUUUCAUUACCUCUCAUGUCAGGGAACUGCCAGGGAUCAUUAUUCUGCAAUGUUUAAGAGCCUAGGCAUGUUUCACAACCAGCAAACUGUAUAGUCUACAGGAAGCACAAUAAAUUAAAACUCAGCCUUCUCAGUUGCCUAGUGUCAUAAACCAUCUAAUCAAUCAGUACUGCAGCAGGCAGCAAUAUGUGCCAUUUUUAGCCUAAAUUAUUUACCCUUGGGGUGUCUUCUGUCCAACCUUGGCUUUUCUAGAAACAGUUUCUGAUUGUUUUUCUUUAGGUGUGAGACAAAGUUUUACAUGGUAUAUAAAUAAAGACAAAAUUCUUCUGGACAUACCUCUUUCUUGUGUGAAAGAAAAAGCACCAUUUUAUUAUUUUCUAUUGUUUAUCAAAAAUAAUACUCGAAAAAGGGGGAAAAACUCUUUUUUAUCACAAAGUCACAGCUGCCUGUUCUGAAAGGCUUUAGCUCUUUAUUAAUGUAUAAAAAGGAGCCCUUGUGUCACUCAAUCAUUGACUUACCUGUUGGAGAGCAUUUUACCAUUUGGUUUUAAUUACAAGCCAAGAGAUGUAUACACGAUAAGCACUUAAACUGGACUCUAAUGUGAUUAUUUAUUGCUAUGCACGUUAGCUUGUUUAUCUUCUCUUAUUAUCUCAUGCUGCAGGUUAUCUGGCAGCAUGCCCCAAAGCACUCAGAAUUGAUGCUUUACUUCACUGCAUGAUUGUAACAGGUUCAACUACACAUAUUAUGACAAGAAGCAAGGUCCUAUCUACAAGUCCAUUGAGGCCCUGGAUCGUAUGGGUAUGGAAAUCAUUGAGACUGGGGAUCCAGAUGCAUUCAAACAAUAUCUGCAGGAAUAUGAUAACACCAUCUGUGGACGCCAUCCCAUCAGUGUUUUCCUCCAUGUAAGAGUGGCUUGUUUCUUAUAUUCAUCAAGUCUUAUCAACUCUAAUAUUUGCUUUAGAAUCUGUAAAGCCCUCUCCCUUUUUUACCCCUUUUUGUCUUUGCCAGAUGCUGAGGAACUGCUCGACAAAGAUUAGUAUCGGUUUCGUCCGAUACGAACAAUCAAGCCAGUGCAAAACCAUGCGAGAGAGCAGUGUUAGCUACGCAUCAGCAGCUGCAAAGGUAGAUAGCUGAUGCGGUUGAACCUUUGCAUCUUGAUUCAGUAGACUGUCAGUUGUGUUUAGAAGCAGCUCCACAAUUGCCUGGAAGUUCAUAAAAGCCGCAGUUCUUUACUGUCCGGUUCUCAUGUUGCAAGGCAGAACACAGAGCCCUAAUUCAAAUUAACAAAAAGCUCCCAGAUCAUGUGUAGUUUAUGGAGCAAAUUCUGUUUGCUAUGAUGUGAGUUAUGUUGUCAAGAUCAUGGUACUCAUUGUCUGCACAACCUGGCUCUCUACUUGGAGCCACCUAUUGAACAUUAUAUUCGAUUUACCUCUCCAUGCCAGUCCCUGCUUCUUUUAUUCUCCUCCUUUUGGUUGAUAUGUUUGUGCCAGUCCCUGCCGUUACCAUUCCUCCCGAAGCUGGAGUUGCCAUUGUAACUUCUUAGGGGCCGACCUCUUAUAUCGAGUCAUUCAUGAUCCAUUUCUGUCGAAGUAUGGGGAUCUUUAGCUAGAAUUUGGAAGCAAUAGAACACCAGCUAAGGGCAUCUUUGUGAUGCAGGCAGCAAAAUGGGCAGGAUUUGUGGUGCAUCAGGGCGAGCCUGGCACGGCUUAUCCAACUUACAAGCAAUUGAGGCAUCUGGGCCUGCAGUAUAUCACAGAGUAGGCGACGUUGUAUCAUGUGUUUGUUCCAAUUCGCCAGUUAAAAUAUACGCCUAUAACUGAAGUAAUUCAAAUAAAUAUAUGAAAACGAGUGUGUUCUGCAAUGGCUAGCAUCGCCAAUCUCCUGAUGAAAUUAGUUUGGUUGGUGUUCAAUCACUCUAGAUAAGAGCGGCGGGGAUGAAGCAAGAGUAGUUGAUAGGGGACAAGUCAAAGAGAUGACAACAAAGAAAAAAGAAGUAAAGAUUCAUUCGUAUUCCUGUGCUGCUGUAGCGGGUUCGGCUUGGACAGGGGAGGUUAUGAGUGCGGGGAGAGUUUCAAGGGGGGAAGGACAAAGAUGGAGGAAGAGUUUCAAAAGGGCAAAGACACAGAGAGAAAGAGACCAAGAAAAAAGCCGCUGACUGUGCUAAUAGGGCAAGACUCGAGAGGUGCCAGUUGCCGAUUCAAAAUACGAGGCUAUGGAUACAGUGACGUCUGGUCUAAAAGCAAGAAAAGAUGAGCUAAUAGUUGCAUCAAUACAGUAACUAUAAACAUAAUUCUUUCAUGCAAAUCAAUCACUAGAAGAAGAAGUUUUGGCUUAUUUGGAAACUCCAGCAAUUUAUGUUAAGAGUUCGAUAGCUUAGCUUGUGCUAGAUGUGGUCUUCUCAACUCUAUGAACUGGCCCACGAGGCACUAACAUCUUCCUCCUCUAUGCCAGGUCCCUUUCCCACUUUCGCAUGCAGUCAGGCCACUACAGAAUCAGACUGAUGCCACUUUACCUGCUCCUGAAAGAAUCCUUCUCAUGUUUUACUUUUUCCGAGCCUACUUGCGCCCACCAUGAGAGGUAACGGCCGUUAAAACCUUAUCUGAAAGCCACCAGUAUAGUAAAAUUUCAGAGGCUCACUUAACGUUAAUGAUCCGUCGAGCUUUUGAAGUCGUUAUCCCGUUACAUUAUUAUAAAUGUGCCCGAGGGGUGGCAAUUAUUGAUCGUCUUGAGUAUGGCAUGUACCGUGCAUGUCAGAAAUAUUAUGGAUGGUUGUGAUUUUUCAGUAUAUUUUUAAAUUAUUUUUUUAUUGAUUAUGUAACUUGAUGAUUAAAUACAUUUUUAAUUUUUUUGUAGGUGUAAUUCCAAUCUUUCUCAACUGAAUAACAUCCAUACGGAUAAUUGUGUCCUGAGACCUUUUAGGUUUGAUAUAACAUAGAUUAUAAUGAAAGCACGACAAUGCAUUGAAUCUAGAAUGCAAUGCUUGCUGUUGCAAUAUUUACUAUUAGUUGUCACGGUGGGCUAGUAGAUGGCAUGACUGACAUUAAUAGAUAAGAUUCACUAUUUAGAAAUCAUAACAUGAUAAUUUAGUUUGGAGAUAUAUAAAUAGAGUUUAUCUCUUGUGUACAAAAUUUUUUACUUUUUUCUGGAAUGAUUUUGCUUUAUUUAGAUAAUCAAAAAAAUUAGAAAUUAUAACGGCAAUUGAUUUCAAUUUUGAAGCCUCGAUUAAUUUCCUAGCCACAGGAUUGAAAAAUCCUUACUCAGAGGCAGAUUUGCAUAUCCUUAAAAUAGGGCAGCUUUAUAAUUUAAUAAAAUUACGUAUCCAAAAAUAGUUUAACUGCAAUAAUAAUAAUAAUAAUAAUAAUAAUAAUAAUAAUAGCUGCAAUGGUAAUAGAUAUAAAAAAUAAUAGGUACUGUAAGAAGUUCAAAUUAUGAUCAUCCAUCAAACAAAAAUGGUUAAGGUAACAUGGGGUAAAUGGUGGUUGUAAUGGGCGGUCCAGUGUGCAUGUAAAGCAUAAUUAGGUGCUUAACAUAUUGCUUAUAGCAUUAAAUAAUUUCAUAUUUCUUGUCAUCCAACACAUAAGCAAUAAAUAACAACUAAACGGAUCUAACUAGUCAGUGUUGUGACAUAAUAAGUGAUACGGUCAAGAGAGAAAACAUAGACUUCCUUUCCACUGUCUAAUGAAUACGCAACAUUUUAAAAAUAUGUGCAGAAAAUGGUAAAAAAAUUAUUAAAUUUAUUUAGUUAGUAGGCAAAAAUAAUACCAUAAUAUCUGAAUGAUCAUUUUUACCAGCAAAUUAUAUCCAAGCAUAUACCAAUUAAUAUAGCCAGUUCAUUUUUCGAGAUGAAUACAUGACAAAUAAAGUUCAUAAAAAAAGAUAAAUUGCACAGUUACAUGAUGCAUGAUGAAUGGGAACCAUAAGAAGAAAAAGAUAAGGUGAUAUAUAUAUAUAUAUAUAGUGCAAGAUAUAAUUUUGUUACUCUAUCCAAUAUACCAUCAUCAUCAUUAUUGUUUAUCAUGAUGGAAUGGUGUAUAGUGACUGUAACAGUAUUUCAUUUUAUUUUUUUCAAAAAAUGUCCCAUCCAACGGGUGGAAGGAACAUGGCAAAUAAUGCAGUCCAAGACGUUAGCGCUAAAGUCCGUAGCAGCCUCCAUGUGCAUGCGAAACCACGGUGCUUUCCGCUUGCAAAAAAUAUUUGCUCGUAACGUGAUUCAAGUGCCUGGAAAUCGACCAGUAUCAUAUUCUUAUGGCCUCAUUUUUUUGGUACUUUUAAUUCAUAUGCGUACAGGGGGACCGUAAAAUAAUUUUUUGUGAUUAUGAUAUAAAAAAUGGCUGUUUGCGGGAUGCCGACACCCAUUUCAGCUGUCUCGGAUGAGGAGGAUACGAGAAAAACUUUGGGUCGGGUUAACGAGACGUUGAAAGAUUUCACGACGGCAAACGUUUGCAAAUCUUGGAGAAAUCGGAGAGAAUCCUGUCGGUUGUAUCUUGAUAUCUUUAUAUAUCUCGUGAUGUGAUGGCUGCUUGGCAUUUGUCGCCUGGUACACUGAACUGCUUUCAAAUUAUUAAAUACAACGAACAGCAUCCGAUGGGGAGUAUUUUUAGGCCACUGUCGGCUUCCGUAGGGCUCGCAUGGGUUGCAUUUGGAUUGGACGAAAACAACAUUCAAAUUGAGCCCUUCUACAGACCUGGAUGCAAUCUUAUGUUUCAAUUAUUUAUAUAAGUUGAUAAAUAUGGUUCACUUUUAAUUGAUGCACUUCUCUUUUAUUUUUUUGAAAAAUGGUAAUUGAACCAAGAGAAACGGAUUUACUAAAUAUUAUAUGUAAAAUAAAAGAUAUAGUUAAAAUGUUUACAUUGUCAAUGAGUAAUAUUUUGUAACCAAAAUAAAUAAUAAUAUUUAGCACAUGCAAUGUAUGUGCAAAUAAAAACUCAACCUUGUACUACUUAGAAGAUAUUUAAAGCUUAAAAAUAUGAGCAAUUUAUAUUGUUUGAAUAUUAUAAAAUUUAUAACUAAUUAGGGCCGUUUAAUUUAGGUGGAGAUGAGUGGUGUAGAGAGAGCAAACUCACUAGUCGUUAGUUGAGAGAGAACAAACAAAAACUUUAGUAAUAAUGUCAUCAAUUUGCACGGAAAAACUUUUUUGUAGCUUGUAAUUGUAAGCAGGCUGAAAGAAAUUCUUGCAACUAAGCCUCUAUACAAUUUAUUGCCGGGCAGAUUUGUUGACCAUGCCUAAUCUACUACAAGAGACUUUGCAUACAUAUUAGGCUAGCGGGAUAUUGCAAUUGCAGCAGAAACAAAUAGGGAAAAAGAAGUUAUAUAGGACACUUCUUAUUUUCUUCCAUUACAUGAUUGUCCAUUUAGAUGGAUCCCUGCAAUAGAUUCUCAUUUGAAAAUGUUUGGUGAUUAGAUGGGAUAAGACAAAAUGGACACUAGAGAUGAGAAGAUUACAACAUCAACUUCUCAUAGCAAGUCAAAAAUGUCUUCUGCUACUAGUGAAAAAGCAUGCAUGUUUAUAGUAAAAACUUAGCUCUAGAAAGGUAAUUUCUAAGGAAUUUUAAGGACUUUUUUGAAAAAAAGGAAGAAAAGUAAUUAUGAAUGGCAUAUAAUUUCUCUUUUCAAUGGUCAAUAUUUAUUUUUUAAUAAAAAUAAUGGAGGAUACUGUGACUAUUAGAGGAAUAGACCCAUUUGGAUUUAUUGCAUGUGAGAUGUGGGUUAGGUCCUUAGCAAGACUAUUGGGGCAUGUCAAUCACCACCACAUGAUUUACAAGCACACUUGGGACAAAUACCGACAUUUCAUCCUUGGCGUCUCCAAUUUGGCACCUCUUAGAUGUAUCCCACAUGCUAAUGUUAGUUGUACGAGUUUUCCAUUAAAGCCAAUUAUUACCCAAUUAUUAAAAGACUCUUUUGUUAGCUUCCUAAUCCUCCUAGGAUAAAUCAUAUGAAUCAUUAAAUAAGCUCUAAUUUAGUAAACAUCAAAUAUCUUUAAGUUCUAUACUCUACAAAAAAAAAAAAUCCCUCUCCUUCAAAGUCAAAAAGAAAAAAAAUGUUUGACUGCUAAUUAAAUGUCAACAUGCUAAAUAUUACUAGCUAAAUAAAAUAUUUAAGAUAAAAACAAUACUUUAUUUAUUAGGCAGUGAAAACUAGACAAAGACCUCCACUUCUGGUUAUGCAAUGCCUUCUAAAGCAUCAUAAGAACCAUUAGGUAAUUGCGCAUUAUCUUUAUGUGCAACAAGUUAUGUAAACUACUAUUAACAGCACUUUAGAUCCCAUCACAAGGACUUAGAAGCCUAAGAGAUAGGCCCCCAACUGACAGUCUCCUGCAGUACAAAAAGAAGGAAAAGCAGCUCUUUCUUCCUUCCACAAAAGGCAAUGAGCAGCUCAGCCACCAAAGAUUUUUUUUUUUCUUCCCCCUCACCCUUCCCUUCCCUCUUGGGAGCUGACAGGAUUCUCCCACAUAACUUCUAUCCCAUUGGUGGCUCCAGGAAUCCUCAAACAUCAACCCACUUCUACCUCUCCAAAUACCCACUCUCCACACAAGCCCGUAGAGAGGUUUACUUAUUCUCACACAGCUUAAAAUAAUGAUGUUAUAAAAUGGUUUUGUUCACCCCAUUACAUUAUUGAAAUAAAUAAACCGAGAAAUAUAAUUACCCUUGUUUUUUUUAAUCUCUUUCUAUACCGGACAAUUAGAAUAUAAAUAGCAGUUAUUAUUUUCACUUGUAUUUUUUUAAAAUAAAUUUUAAUUCAAAAUUCCUUCCAAAAUGAAUAUACGGACCAAAAGUAUAUUAUUUUGUCUAAUAAAAGAUAAAAGAAAGAUUAUACUAGCUAUUAUUUCGGUGAUUAUUUUUAAUAUUACAACUAAUAGCCAUUACAGCUAAUAAAAAAUCAAGAAUUUUUCGCCGAUUUAUCGCCGUUGUGAGCUCGCGAUAUUUUACCAAUCCUGCGUAUAAUUAAAAUUAAAGUUUUAUUUCUCGAUAAAGAGCCGAAACGGGGUUCCCGAUAAGCAAGGCAAAAAAACUGUGGCAUUCUUUGUAAUUCCGUGAUAAACUUUGUCCUGUACCGUCAUUCCACCUCCUACGUGGUCCUCUUGUCGUUUUCUCCCAUUCACCGUAACUCGAUCGGCACCUCUUUCUAAACACGGAAGAUCUGUAACCACAAACCAACGAUUUGAAACAUUUAUGUAGUUACGCGUGGCUGGCAGGGAAUCGGACAUUUUAGCUGUUCUAUGUUAUUGGAGAAGGACAGCUGCGGUAACUAGAUCCCGCUACGGAAAACUUGACGAGCCACGCAGGCGGCCCCUGCGGGGACAAAAGGCACACGUCCCUAUCAUUCUCGCUUGACUUAUCAAAUGAUAGGACACUGUUCGUCUCACCAUCACUGAUAAGCCAAUCAGCUCCUCGGGUUGCCCCCCCGCGGCUCCUCCCCCCUAUAAAUAAGCCCUCUCGGCAUCCCGAGUGCGAUUUUUUUCUGUCUUUUUUAACCCCUUCCCAUUUUUGUUUCUUUUUGUCGUUCGUUUCUUGGGAGGGGCUGGUGGGAGGAAAAAGAGCGAGAGAUUUCGUCUCGCCGCUCGUCUCCGAUCUCUCUCUCUCUCUCUCUCUCUGGCCUCCGACUGUGAGGUGAGCGUCUUUUCUUUGGGUUUUUCUUGAAUUCUUUCGGAAUCUUUGUCUUAUAGACUCAGCUUUUGCCUUUUUCCUUUUCUCCAUCUACUUGCGCUAUCUCUGAUUCCUCGUGUUCGAUCUCCGGAAACCCUAGAAUUUUUUCACGCUGGGCAGAGUUUCUGGUCGCCGGCGGAUCUUUGUGGGGAGGAAAGAAGAGGUUUUUGAGUGAUUUAGUACUCGUUUCUUGUUUCUUUCUGAGUUUUGUUUCGAUUUGGAAAGUUUUGAUUAGCUGAAUUCUGGCUUUUUCGUGGGAAUCUUGUUGCGCCUGGUCUAGUGUUUUGAAGAUAGAUAUGACCUUUGUUUCUUUCCUUUCGAUGAUUUAGGGUUUGAAUGUGACGACUGGGGGCAGUGGUGUGGAUAUUUGUGAGAAAGACCUGGCGUAGCAAUGUCUUCCCUUAGUCGAGAGCUGGUUUUCUUGAUCUUGCAGUUUCUUGAUGAGGAGAAGUUUAAAGAGACCGUCCACAAGUAUGUUUGCCUUUGAAAAAGAUUUCGAUAUUUCAUUAGUAAUUCGUUUUCUCACCGCUUUUGAGUUGUGGCUCUGUUUUUCCCCCCUGUCACCUCUCUCCUUCUUCUUCUUUUGGUAAUAGGCUCGAGCAGGAAUCUGGUUUCUAUUUCAAUAUGAAGUACUUUGAAGAUGAAGUGCAGAGGGGAAACUGGGAUGAAGUGGAGCGGUACCUCUCUGGUUUCACUAAGGUUGAUGACAACCGAUAUUCCAUGAAAAUUUUCUUUGAAAUCCGGAAACAGAAAUAUCUUGAGGCAUUGGAUAAGUAAGUUUCCCUUUCCUUGGCUUUCUUUUGGAGUGAUUGAAUGAGCCCUUGUACAGGAAAGUGGUUUUACUGGACAUUCUCUGUUUUGUUUGACCGGAAUAUUACCUAUCGGGCAUUGUUUCCGUGAUCUUUCUUAUCCUAUAUGACGACCCUUUGUUUCUCUUCUAUUUUAUAAUUAAGCAUGGUUUUUAUUAAAUUCCUUUUCUAGGCGUGAUCGUGCAAAGGCUGUCGAUAUCCUUGUGAAGGAUCUGAAAGUCUUCUCCUCAUUUAACGAGGAUCUUUUCAAGGAAAUUACACAGCUUCUGACAUUGGAGAAUUUCAGGUAAGGCUUUAUAACAAUUUUAUCUACAUCUGUUGGUUUGGUAAAUGAUUGUUUUGAGAAAUAUGCUUGUUUUAAAGGGAGAAUGAACAGCUCUCAAAAUAUGGUGAUACUAAAUCAGCAAGGACAAUAAUGCUUGUUGAGCUUAAGAAGCUAAUUGAGGCGAACCCUCUGUUCCGCGACAAAUUGCAGUUUCCAACCCUCAAAAAUUCCAGGCUACGCACUCUUAUUAAUCAGAGGUAAAUCAAUGGGGCAUGCCUUCCACAUUUACAGUGUGGUGCUAGUUUAGUCCGUAUUUUUCUUUCUAGUUGCUCAUAUAUUCAACAAAAUAUGACGGUCGAAAUUUGGGAUUAUCCAGAAUUUGCAUAAACCACAUUGCUUUAGCUUGUUAGUAGCGAACUUGUGUAAAAAGGACAUGAAAUUUUAUGCCCUGCUUUCUAGCAUUACUUUAACUUACAAGUGGUAAGUACAUGCAAAAGAGACAUGUCGAAAGGGCUUAGAAUACUUAAAGUUUCUAGUUUUCAUAUCAUUCUUUCUCUAUAUUCUACUAUUAUAGUACUCACAGCAUCAUAUAACAUGCAGCCUUCUAUGCAGCAUAAAUUUGCAUAAGGCAUGCCUGUAGUGUGCUAUUGGGGUCUCUUGAUCUCUCAUAUAUUCAUGCAUAUAUACAUAUUAGAAAUGCAUAUACAUCAACCUACAUACAACUUCACUUGCGAGUAUAAAAAUUAAUGCUUCAUGCAGAUAUAGAUGCAUGCAUAUCUAUUCCACUUGUAGUAUAUAUUUUUCAUGUGCACAUGAACACCUGGUCCUGAACCUGUAUAGCAUAUGAUGGUUAUGCGAUCAUAUAUACAGGUAUUCAUCGUAAUAAUGUGUUGAAUGAGUCUUCUUAAAUAAAAGGUGUCUCAUGCACGAUCAUUAUCCCAUGUGUUUGUAAUAGUGCAUAUGAAGCUGCUUCUUGAUUUGUUGCUUAUUUAUUUGUGUAGUUGAGCAAUUUAUCUUCAUUUUUAGCCUUCGAAAUAUUAUUGUUUAGAGUGUGGCUUCUUAAGGGUGAACCGAUGUCAUCAUGUAAUUUGGCAGUUUAAACUGGCAGCACCAGCUCUGCAAAAAUCCAAGGCCUAAUCCAGAUAUAAAAACCCUUUUUGUUGACCACUCUUGUGGACAGCCAAAUGGUGUGCGCACGCCAUCACCUGCAAACAAUCCUCUGCUUGGAUCUAUACCAAAGCCAGGAGGUUUUCCUCCUUUGGGUGCACAUGCGGUAAUUAAACUAGCUUAAUCUAUACACCUUCUUCUGUAAAGUGGUACGUAAUCUUUCAGACUUAAUUUAGUGGGUUUCAUUCAGCCUUUUCAAACUGCACCAGCACCCAUACAUGCGCCUCUUGCUGGUUGGAUGUCUAAUCCACCAACAGUAACUCAUCCAACGGUUUCUGGAGGGCCCAUUGGACUCGUUGCCCCUUCAAAUCCUGGUAGGUUAUUUUAGAAAGUAAAAAAAUUGUGUAGAUCAGUUAAGACUUCAAAUUUUGAUAUGGAUAUAUAGCUGUUCGCCGUUCAUGUUUGUUGCUUUGAAUGUAGCUGCAAUUUUGAAGCAUCCUAGGACUCCAACCAACAACCUUGCCGCAGAUUACCCUUCAGCAGAUUCUGAUCAUGUAUCAAAACGAACAAGGCCCAUUGGGAUUUCUCAUGAGGUGUGCUAGGUUGCCUUUAGUGGAACCUGUUUUAUUUUCGUUUCUUACCACUAUUGAUGCUUAUAAGCUCUUACAGCUGCAGAACUUAAAAAUUACAAGUUUUCUGACCUCCUCUUUGUUCUUUCAACUGCUUGUGAAGGUGAAUCUGCCUGUCAAUAUAUUGCCAGUUACUUAUCUUCAAAAUCGCAGUCAAUCUAUGUACCCUCUAGACGACUUGCCCAAGACUGUUGCAAGAGCACUUAAUCAGGGUUCAACUCCCAUGAGCAUGGAUUUUCAUCCUACUCAACAGACAGUUCUUCUUGGUGAGCUUUUGUUCUGUCAUGAUACACAAACAGAUAGAUAUAUCUUAGAAAAUCUGUUAUUUUCAGUUAGUACUUCUGAUGUGUAUUGAUUUUGCUUUUAAUAUGGUUUAGUCGGUACAAAUGUGGGGGACAUUGGAUUAUGGGAUGUUGGAACUAGGGAGAGACUAGUUCUGAAAAAUUUCAGGGUUUGGGAACCUGCAGCAUGCCCAAUGGCUCUUCAGGUUUGUUCCUUUAAUUGAUUAAAGAUAUUUUGUGAAACUGUAUACAAUAUCAUGUUCUAUUUCACUUUGAAUCCGUAUCCUGUCACUGCAAUUUGAAUUUUGACUUGCUGCAACCCAGACUGCUCUAGUUAAAGAUUCAGGCGUGUCAGUUAACCGUGUAAUAUGGAGUCCAGAAGGCUCUUUGUUUGGUAGGUAUAUAGCAGCAGAUAUUUGAAUAUAGAAACCAAAUAUCCAUAACAAGAGAUUGUGAUAUAUCUGGAAUCUCUGUUUCCUUGCCACUUCUCUAGGUGUUGCAUACUCAAGGCAUAUUGUGCAGAUAUAUUCUUAUCAUGGUGGUGAUGAUAUUAGGCAACACUUGGAGGUAUAGAAUGUACCAAUGCCAUUUAUUAAGUUUUACCGGUCUGUUCCGAUAUCUUAGACACUGAUGAAUUAAUCACAUUUGCAGAUUGAUGCUCAUGUUGGUGGUGUCAAUGAUCUUGCAUUUUCUAACCCCAAUAAACAACUGUGUGUAAUCACUUGUGGAGAUGACAAGAAAAUUAAGGUUGGUUUUAGAUCUAAGUAUUGAACUGAUUUGUAGAUGCUGUACUUUCGAAGUACUAAUUUAUGUAUGGCUAUUAAAUUUUAGGUAUGGGAUGCCACUACUGGUGCCAAACAGUAUACUUUUGAAGGCCAUGAGGCACCUGUUUAUUCUGUUUGUCCUCACCACAAGGAGAACAUUCAGGUAAUAAAUUUAUCAGACACUAGUUAGUUCCUGGAUUGAUUAUUUAUUUAUGUUUAUAGGACAAAUAUCCAUUUUCUGUAUUUGCGAUGCUGUUGUUAUUCAUGUUGUGUUAAUGCUACAUUAAUGCUAUCCUUUGUUGAUUAUACAGUUCAUCUUUUCGACAGCAUUAGAUGGAAAGAUCAAGGCAUGGUUGUAUGAUAAUUUGGGUUCUAGAGUUGAUUAUGAUGCCCCUGGUUGCUGGUGCACUACGAUGGCAUACAGUGCUGAUGGUUCACGGUCAAUUGGCUGGCUCUAUCUCAUCAUUUGGAAUUAAUUUUUUUCCUUAUUUAUGUGUCAAGUUUUACUUUCAAUCUCUGUAGAUUAUUUUCUUGUGGGACCAGCAAAGAUGGAGAAACAUACAUUGUUGAAUGGAAUGAAAGUGAAGGGGCUGUUAAGAGGACCUUUCUAGGAUUGCAGAAACGGUCUUUGGGUGUCGUACAAUUUGACACCACUAGGAAUCGCUUUCUGGCUGCUGGCGAUGAAUUUCUAAUAAAAUUUUGGGAUAUGGAUAAUACUAAUCUUUUGACGUCUAUUGAUGCUGAAGGUGGACUCCCAGUAAGUUUGUUAUAUAGAGUUCCCGUGCCAUAUGAUCAACUAUGUAGAAGGAAAAUAGAAAGACUAAGUUCUCACAUAAUUUGAACUUGUUCUAAUCUUUAGGCAAGCCCGCGUAUACGAUUCAACAAGGAGGGUACAUUGCUGGCCGUUUCUACACAUGACAAUGGGAUCAAGAUCUUGGCAAAUGCUGAUGGACUUCGUUUGUUGCGCACAUUUGAAAAUCGAUUGCUUGAUACUUCGAGGGUUGUAUCGGAGACUGUAAUGAAGGUAUUUCCUUAUGCUAAUUUGAUUGUCCUGAUCAAUAAUGCCAACAAUAUCAUGUUGUGUUUUUUAUCCAUGAUGCAUCCCAUAAUAAGCCUAUUGUGUGCUGUUGCAAUUGGGACUAGUAGUGGAACAGACAAAGCUGCUCCUACAGUGUCUGUAGUUGGAAUGGUUUGUUAAUUUUUUUUUUCUCACAUUUUUUGUUGUCAAUUUUGCUGAAUGUCUCUCAAUGUGAGAGUGCCAUUCAUUAAAUAGAAAACUGUACAAAGAUACAUCUCUGAUUUUGUGCUCCUACCAGCUAUCAUAUCUCUCUAAAUAUGGAAAGAUACAUCGCUGAUUUUGUGUUAUCAUUAUCUCUCUAGAUAUGGGAAGAUACAUUUCUGAUUUUGUGCUCCUACCAGCUAUCAUAUCUCUCUAAAUAUGGAAAGAUACAUCGCUGAUUUUGUGUUAUCAUAUCUCUCUAGAUAUGGGAAGAUACAUCUCUAAUUUUGUGCUCCUACCAGCUAUCAUAUCUCUCUAAAUAUGGGAAGAUACAUUCCUGAUUUUGUGUUAUCAUAUUUCUCUAAAUAUGGAAAGAUACAUCCCUGAUUUUGUGCUCCUACUAGCUAUCAUAUUGGCAUCCCCCCUCAAAUUGAUGCUAGUUGAUCAAGAAGCAUCAAUUUGCCAACCAGAAAUUGAUGACGCAACCGGGUCAGCCUUGGUAAACACAUCAGCAAUCUGAAGGUCCGUGCAAAUAUGCGGAAGAGAAAUGACAUGAGUAUCCACAGCUUUCCGAAUAGAAUGGCAAUUCACUUCGAUGUGCUUGGUACGCUCAUGUAAAAUAGGAUUAGUAGCAUUCCGAACGGCACUCGGGUUAUCAGCAUGGAGAGGAGUGGGAUCUGACGGAGGAAAUCCAAGCUCGGCCAGGAGCCCAUGAAGCCAUUCAAUUUCAGAGCAAGCAGCAGACAUGGCACAAUACUUUGACUCAGUCGAGAUGGAAAAUACGAUCCUGCUUCUUAUUCUUUCAAGAUAUUAAGGAAUCUCCAAGAAACAUAUGCCAACCCGUGAUAGAGCGAUGUGUAUCAAGAGAUCCUGCCCAAUCAGAAUCACUAAAAGCAACAAGACGAAUAGGAGAACCAAUAGGAAAGAACAAUCCAUGGUUAGGAGAACCUUGAAGAUACCAAAUGAUAUGACGAACAUCCGCCAAAUGUAGAUGCCGUAGGGAUUGCAUAAAUUGGCUAACUUGCCGGACAACAACAGAGAUAUCUGAUUGUGCAAUAGUCAGAUAAUUCAAGCUGCCAGCUAAUUGCCAAAAUCGAGUAGGAUCAGGAAGAAUAUCGCCCUCCUCACGACGAUACUAAACAUUUACUUCCAGAGGAGUGUCCACAGAGAAAGAGUCCUAAAAACUAGCCAAAGCAACCAAAUUCUGCGUAUAUUUGUGUUGAUGCAAGAACACAUCAGAAGGAUCAGUAUGAACCUCCAAUUCCAAAAAGUACGUAAGAGGACUAAGGUCCUUCAUAUGAAAAGAGUCCUGGAGAUGCUGCUGAAGGCGGAUAAUCAACAAGGAAUAUGUCCCUGUAAUAACAAUGUCAUCUACAUAAACAAGGAGGAGAACAAUACCAGAGGAUGUCUUGCAAAGAAACAAGGAGUCAUAUUGACUCUGCACAAAAGAGAAGCGAAGCAAGGUAGAUUGGAACUUUUCAAACCACGUCCGGGGAGCUUGUUUCAAGCCAUACAAAGAUCUCUUCAACUUACAGACGUCGGAAGUAGAUGUGGAGAGCAAACCUGGUGGAGGUGUUAUGUAAAUAUUCUUCUUGAGAUCACCAUGGAGAAAAGUAUUUUUGACGUCCAUUUGAUGUAGUGGCCAACCCUGUGAAGUGACAAUGACAAUAGCUGUACGCACCAUAGUUAUUUUCGCCACAAGAGCAAAUGUCUUCUCAUAGUUCACCCCAUACUCCUGCUUGUUACCAAGAGCAACCAAUCGUGCCUUGUAGCAAUCCGGAGUCCUAUCUGAACAAAGCUUAACUGAGUAAACCCGUUUACAUCCAAUGGGCUUAACGGUAGAGGGGCAAGGAACAAUGUCCCAUGUAUGAUUCUCCUGAAGAGCUCAAAGUUACUCUUGCAUUGCCUUCUACCAACACUCAUGCUUCACAGCCUGAGUAACACGAUGGAACCGAAAUAGUGGACAAAGUAGCAUUGAGAGAUGUGUGAGGAAAACCAUACCCAUCAAGAGGAUGAGAGACUCUGGUAGAUCGUUGAGGAGCAGCCUGAACAGGCUCAGGUGGUGGAUCAGUCUCGGAAAGGGGCAAAGUCGCUCGAUGUCGUUCAUACACAAAUCCAGGCUUGAACCGCUCAGGAGGGGUCAAGUCAUCAAGCUAGGAAGAAUAGAAACUGCAGGAGAUGACUCAACAUGAGUGGGAAAGAAGUACUGAGUCUCAAAGAAGACAACAUUGUGAGAAACACUGUUAGAGCAUGGAUCAUAGCAAAUAAAAUCUUUUUGAGAAACACUAUAACCCACAAAGGCGCAUUUAACAGAUUGAGCAGAAAGUUUAUGGCGUUCAUAAGAAAGCAAAUACACAAAGCAAACACAGCCAAAAGUAUGCAAAUAUACUUAGGAUGCUGACGGUAAAGACGAUAAUAUGAAGAGUUGAGGUUUAACACCUGAGAUGGCAGUCUAUUAAUUAAAUAAACUGUUGUAGGUAAAGCCCCAACCCAUAAUUUAGAUGGAACAGAAGACUCAAGUAAUAAAGUUCGAACGACAUCCAAAAGAUGAUAGUUCUUCCAUUUAGCCAUGCUAUUUUGCUGUGGCAUAUAAGGGCAUGAGCGUUGUGAGACAAUACCUUUUUGAUGCAGAAAAUUAUGAAACUCGUGAGACAUAUUCUCCACCAGAAUCAGAUCUCAACACUUUAAUACCAAUAGAAAAUUGUGUCUCAACAUAUGGCAGAAAGGUUUGGAAAACAGAGAAGACCUCGGAUUUGGAACAUAGAAAAUACACCUAGGUAAACCGAUUGUAAUCAUCACUGAACGUCACAAAGUUCUUAUGGUGAGCAUGAGAAAUAAUAGGUGUAAUGCCCCAAACAUCACUAUGAAUAAUAUCAAAACACCUUUCUGCACGAUUACCAAGAGAAGAAAAAGAAAGUCUUACUCUUUCCUAAUUUACAUGUAGAACAAUCAAAGAAAAGGCUAUGAGAAGAAAAUUGAUCUGUAUUGCCCAACAAAUCGGAGUUCAACAAAUGAGACAAAACAGUAGAAUUUGGAUGGCCUAAACGUUUAUACCAUACUUCACUCUUAUUUUUAACAAUGGUACAAGCCAAAGAUAUGAAACUAGAAAUAAAAAAGUGCAGCGAAAACAGUCUCUCAACUUUAGGCCUCUUCGCGAUUAUCGUCCUCGAUACCUGAUCCUACACAAAAUAAUCAUCACGAGAAAAAUGGACAUCACAGUUAUCCACCAAUUAACCAACCGAAAUAAGACUAGAAGAGAGUCCAAGCGAUACAAAAACAUUCUUGAAAGAUGAAGUAAUAUCCCCAACAGCAAUAAUAGGUAAAUUACUUCCAUUAGCAAUCUGAAUAUGUGAUGAACCAUGACACAAACAAAUAUUUCUAAGCAUACCAGAUGAACUUGUUAUAUAAUUUGAUGCACCAGAAUCAACAAACCAAGGCUGAGAUGUAGUACCCUUACCUUAUAACCUUAAGGCUGAAAAGGCCGAAACAAUCAUCUGUCGUACUAUUUCAAGAGUAAGAACAAUUAGUCUAGCAACCGUAGAAGUGCUGGUAGGCACUGCAGGAGGAGUAAACUGAUUGCUGGUCCCUGCUGAAGACUGACCAUUUGGAGAAGUGCUAAUGGCAGUCUGAAAAGCAUUGGCUUGGCGGUUUUGAGAGCGAGUGGAGCACUCUUUGAUGAUGUGUCCUUGCUGUUUACAGUAGUUGUAGAACAUUUUUCUACAAUUGAUAGCAAUGUGUCCGUAUUCUUUGCAGCUAUAGCACUGCACCUUGCGCAUAUCCCUACUCUUCCCCUUUUCUUGAGCCACAUAAGCAACCGUAACGACAUUAGAUGGCAUCCUCUCCUACUCGAAAGUGGCCUGUGUGAGAAUACGCUGUUCUUCAUAAAGUAAUUCUCCAAAACAAACAUCUAAGGAUGGAGGAGGGUUACGGUUCAUCAAUUUGGAGCGAGUAACCCCAAAUUCAGGUCGCAACUUCAUCAAAAACUGAUCUCUUUUGCUUUGCUCAUGAACUACUUGAACAACAAAGAGAGAUUCAGCAAGUACCUUAGUAUAUACAAUUUCAGAAAAUUUUGCCUAAAGUUCUGAAAGCCAGAAAAGUAGUCCUGGAUGAAGAGAUUGCCCUGAGAGUAACUAGUAAUCCCACAUGGUUUUGGCAGUCUUAUAUGGCCUCAGAUUAAGAACAAUAGGAGGGUCAACAAACCCUAAUAUCCAGGUCAUCACCCGAGCAUCUUUGACCUUUCAUUGAGCCAACUUUAUAGGAUCCGUAGGGGCUGGAUCACUUCCAUCUAUAUGGCCUCACAAAUUCUUUUCUGUGACAUAUUUGAAACUGAAAUUCUUAGGCAGAAUAGUUCUUUCCAGUGAAUCGGACACUGAAAGUAUCAGAAUUUCUUGCAGCAUGGUGAAAGAAUAUCGUCAAUUCAUAACACAGCAGCACAGGAAUAACAGAAGGAUUUUCGAACAACACAGCACCAAGAAAACCAGAAAAUCCGAAAGACCAAAAACACUAGAAAACACGUUGCAACAAAUCCAAAAAUCCAGAAAACAUGCUGCAGAGAAAGCCGAAACCCAAGAGCCCUAGAUAUCUAGGGCUAAACACCAAAGAAAGCCAAAAAAACUAGAAAACUCGGAGAGCACUAAUGGCUCUGAUACCAUGUCAAUUUUGCUGAAUGUCUCUCAAUGUGAGAGUGCCUUUCAUUAAAUAGAAAACUGUACAAAGAUACAUCCCUGAUUUUGUGAAGAUACAUCCCUGAUUUUGUGCUAUCAUAUCUCUCUAAAUAUGGGAAGAAACAUCCCUGAUUUUGUGCUAUCAUAUCUCUCUAAAUAUGGGAAGAUACAUCCUUGAUUUUGUGCUCCUACCAGCUAUCAUAUUGACAUUUGUGUGUGGGGAUGGAUGGUGUUGUUGAGCUACUUUAUUUUGGUCUUGCUUCUGUACUUUCAUGCUAAACAAAUAACUAACACACUCAUACCUUGCUUCCAUCAUUUUGCAUCAAAUAGAGAUUUUUAUAGACUUUUAACCCACUACUUUGCACUAACUUUAUAUUUUAUUUUUGAUAGAAUGGAGACAACAGAAGUUUGGUAGAUGUAAAACCUAGAUUAGUUGAUGAGUCGAUGGACAAAUUAAAGAUCUGGAAGCUCACUGAAAUCAAUGAACUGGUUCAAUGUCAAUCCCUGAGGCUUGUAGAUAACAUGAGAACAAGCAAGGUAAGGUUUUUGCAUCUGGAACAUCAUUUUUAUCUAUGAUUGCUCGCUUGCUACAGCAUUGCAAAAAACCUUUCAUGAGUAUCCUUAGAAAUCAGUUGCCUAUUCUUGGCCUGCAAAAGCAUCAUGAGUCAGGAAAUUGCAUAGAUUAAUGUGUUUAUAUCAUCAGAAGUACCUCAUGCAUUUGGCAUCAUACACUCUGAACACAUUGAGCAAAUUAAUGAGGUGCACAUGUAGCUAUUUUGAUCUUCAUGUCAAUUUUUUUUGCACUUAUGUUUUUGCAGUCAAUAUGCACUUUAAUCCAUAUUCUAGGUUCUUUAGUAUUUUUUUCCUAUCAAAGGCUGCAAUCACACAUUUUUUGUUAAAUCAGAUAUUAAAUGUAUAACCACAAAUUUUGGCUAAUAGCCAACUUUUCUUAAAAACAGGAUUCUUUCAUUACAAGUUAUAUGAAGGUUCAAGUUAAACCUUUUUCUAUUACUCUGUUGGAUAAAUUUCCGUAAUUAAUUAAACUCCACUACUUUAUUGGCUAGGUGUUGGUUAACAUGGUUCCUUAUAUCUACUAUUAAUAUUUAUGUGCAUGGAUAAGUAGGAAAGUACCCUAUUGUUGUGCUAGUGUAGUUGGAUCUUUAGCUUUUUGGGGAUUUUAGGAAUAGGAUCAUUAAUUGGUGUGCCAAAACUCAAUAGUGGAUGGCAAUAAAGUGGUCGGUUUCUUUGUCAACUUUCAGUAGUAUUAUUGUUUCUCUAAAAGGUUUGUGCUUUCGGCAUGGGAGAGGGAGAAACAAUAAAUAACUGGGUUGGAUUAAUGCGCGAGCAUGCCAUCGGUCUGAACCAGAAAGGAUAGAUGAUGACGGAUUUUGUUGCCUUAACUUUCAAGAACUUUUGCUACUGAAAGAAUUAAGUUAUUACUGUUGAGGAUAAAAGUUAAAGAAUAAAAGAACAUAAUAAUAACUAAACAGAUAAAGAAUAAAAGAACAUAAUAAUAACUAAACAGAUAAAAAUAAAAUUGUUGAUCAUUGAUUAGCGAAAAGGCCUAUUCUUAAGAUUACAAUUUGAUAUUUAUACCGGGGAUAAAAGCUAAAGGAUAAAGGGAAAUAACAACAACUAAAGAGAUAAAAAUAAAAUUGUUGAUCCUUGAUUGGCAAAAAGGCCUGUUCUUAGGUUUACAAUUUGAUAACUAUACAUUCUCUUUUUAAUCACUAGACAGAUGUCACCCUCUAGUGCUGACAUCCGUCAUCUUUGGUUAAUGCGACUUCUGUCAUUUUCUCUUGAUGGUUGUCGCACUUAGUUUUAAUCUUAAAGCCAUUUCUCUUCACAUCCUAAGCUCUUGGCAACUGCUUCAACUGCUUGAAUCUUCACAUUGUAUCAGGUCAAUGAUUUAGCAGCACAAACAACAUAGACCAUGAUCUGCCUUUAGUUCAACACUUAGCCUCUCAAAUAUGCCAUGCUCAGUCGACCUACAUUUCGCCCCAACUUUUCUUCAAGACUCGACCUAUACCUCGAGCGAUUCAUCGCUCGUCUUGUUGCAACUAGUGCUCUUUAAUCGUCACUUGGCCUACCUCUGUGAUGCUAUGUGGUUGCCCAAUUGGCCUACAGACAUGUCAUUUUUUAGUUUCUCUUAACCAUCAUUCGGCCUUGCUCAAGCGUUACUGCCUAGUCUCAUCUUAGCCAAUCUUCACACCUUUAGUAUUGAUUUGACUGUGAAGUAAACAAUGCCCUCCCACAUCCCGUCAAUCGAUGAUUAGAAGGAUGAUGGGAUAUAUCCGAUACCACAUCCACGACCUUGAUUAGUCGUCUGAUGGACUUCUCAAACGCAUUAAACUAUUGUAAUUCCUGCAUUCCUUUGGAAUUAGCCCUUAUCAUUAUUUAAAGUGUGGCCCAAUAUAUCUCUUCAAUCAUAGUUAGUAGCCAUAUAGGCUGAUGGCCUGCAUGAUUUGCCCACCUUUUGAAUUAUUGCAACCAAUUAGAAUCCCUUUCGGGUAUGGCUCGGUAUGCUGCAGUAGCCUUUCUAUAAAUAAGUCUCAUCCUCUUUCUUUUAUCCUAUCACUUCCAUAAGCCCUAAUUCUAGAGUCAUUACCUUCUUCCUUGAUCGGUCUUCUGCAACUUCAUCCCCAAUCUGCUACUUCCUUCUCCCAGGCGAAGAUAUAUUCGGACAUCUUAGUGCCCAAUUCUAUGGCCAGCAAAGGCAAGAAGAGCUUGAGCAUUAUGGAGUUCUUAAAUCUGUGAGCUUGUAGGUACUUUUCUAUGAUCCCUCUAGUCUUCUCAUCCUAGAUCCACUCCUUAACUUAGGUAUCCUUGAGGCCCUUUCUCCCAUCUUUCCUCAUCAUCUCAAUGAAACCUCUCUAAGAAAGACCGAGUUUUAAGACUUUGGUUUGAGAAAGCCCUAACCCUCAUUGGUCUUGGGCCCUUGGCUGACCAAGACCAAUUUCUGCGAUUACUUGUUCGGCUGUGUCUUCCAACAAAAGUGUUCAAUCUGGGAGGAGAAUGGCCUCUCAGAUAUUUUCUUUUUCUAAAUCUCCCACAAUAGCAAAUCGGUUUUUUAUCUUUGUUGCUCUUUGCUUGUGUGCCUUCGACCAACAACCUUCAUUUGAAUCAUGGGAUAACUAGUCCUAGCCUUCUAGAUUUAGGGGCUAUUUUGAAUCUUAGGCUGCCUAGUGAAGUGUCCCAUGCUAGUACACUAGUUGAAGUGUUUGAUGACGAGUUUGACUUGGAUCUGGGUAAAAAGGCUAGUUAUACCUCCUAUCGAAAAGCCUUCAGCCAACGGACUAGUUCAAUCUCCAAAUAAGGGUAUCUAGCUUUCUUUCUUGUCUUGGUUUGUAGGGCUUUGUUUUUUUUUUUCCCCCUCGAUUAGUCAAGAUAUUGAAAGUGCGUCUUUGCUCGGCUAUAGCUAUAGCCCCUUUGGUCUUAGCCUAUAUCUAAUGAGGCCUUAGAGAAGACUCCUAGGGAACUUGGAGUUGCGGAGGUCUUUUAUGGAUCUUCCAUCUCCGAAUCAAUGCCUACUUCCUAGAAUUUAAGAGUACUGGAAGGGAAGUAACUACCAUGCAUAACAAUAGCGGCCCAUAUAACGCAAGCCAACAAGAGUAAAUAUCAAAACUAAAUAGUGACACUUAUCUCAACAGUUAAUAGGAACCACUUGGAGAAGAGGCCCUUCGCCAAUAAUAACUACUAGUUCUAUUUUUAUCUAUCCAGUUAUCUUUCAAUUAUUUUGAUUUAUCCUUGAGCUUUUAGCUUUUUUACCCAUUAGCAUAGCACUGUAGUUACCUCUUCCUUCACUCGAGAAGGCAGCAUUUCGGUAGUGAAAGUCCUUGAAGGUCAAAGCAGCAGAACCCACUACUAUCUAUCCUUUCCACUUUAAUCACUGGUGGCAUGUUCGUACAUCUAUCCAACCUGGCCAUAAACAUGUUCUUCCCAUCUCAACCCAAGAGAAAGAAGGGGCAAUAAUUUCUCUGUCCCGAGGGACCUUCAUGUAGGCCCCAAUAUUGAGUGAUUUGGCAAUAAUAAAGCUUGGUUGAAUACUAUUCUUCGAAUUUCUUUGCUCACCAAUCCGGCCUCAUCCAAGCAAUCCCUUGUCUACCCCUUUAUUCUUUGAACUCUUCAUUUUAUAAUCGGCUUGUCAUCACUAAUCUGAACUUGAUCUCUUUGGCUGAUUUUCUCUGUCAAGGGUCAUGUUCAGAGGAUAACUUUGUCCCCUUCACUCCCUGACCUGCCAUGGCCAAGGACUUUGUGGAUUGAUGUGAUGCCUAUUUGAUUAAAAUUCAGUUUGAAAGGCGUCCGCCAUGUUUAGCCGGAACUGAUGUUGAUUCUUGGCUUGAUUCAGAGAGUGAAGGCACAUCCUUGGCCACUUUAAAACUGAAAGAUGAUGUCUCUAUUUUACAGCUUGCCGGUGGAGCGGCUUCAGUUUUAUGGAAUCAAAUACACUGGACAUCUUAUGUCAAUGAGAUUUGAAGGCAGUCAGCUAAGUGUAGACUAAGAGAUGAGUUUGAGGAAAAAUUCAAGCUUAGAGCUAGCAACAUAAGGAGACUCCGGUAGGGGUAACACUUCGACUGAUCAGCAUGUUAUAAAAAAAUUAACGAGUUGUUGGCUUAACAUCAGCCUGCAAGGCCACUCACAAAAUUUGGAAUGGCCGACCUGGUUGUCCUAGUGAAGCCCAUGGUUGGCUUAACGUCGUCUUUUAAGGAUUGUUUAGAUGCCCAAGCACUCUCUCUGUGUAAUGCAUUCAAUACAAGUGCUAGGGCAAGAAGAGAGGAGGCAGAGGAAGAAGGAUGAGUUUGAAGCAAUGAACCAUCUCAAGAUAUCUGAGAUACUGAAUCACCAAUUUAAAAGAAGCUCAGCAUCCUUACCAUAGGGGGAUUGGUGGGAUCAACAACUUCACUUGUACCCUGCAUUCUUUCUUUUUUUCUUCCCCUUUAUCCAAUGGAUAUCAUGCAGAUAGGGUAGCGGAGCAUCUAAACAGAACCUGUGCUCUUCUAUUCCAUGCCCUAUAAACAAUUUAAAAAAAAACUAUGCUGAUGUUUCUCCCAUUCUUGAAUGCAAAUUUAUGAUAUUUCAUAUGAUUCAGAAAUAUUUAGAUUUCCAGCAGCAUCGCAUUCCUCUGAGUUUAUUCCUCCUAGUUAGGCUGCAAGCAUCACAGUUUGCUUCUGUUUUUUUACAAUACACAGCUAUACCUUUUGUAACUUGGCAGCGUAAUGACAAUGCCCUGAAAAACAAGUAGCAUAUACCAGAUAACACAUUUAAAAGAACUACAUAUACAAUUUUUAACUAUUCUUCACAUUUGUCUAAGAGGCAACUAAGAUAUUAGAUGCUUCCUUGACUGUUUUUAUCAUCAAGCUUGUAUAGCAUACCAUGUGGGAAACAGUGUAAGAUUCUUAUUGUCCUUAUUCUUCCCAUGGUUACAGAUAUCAAGAUUAAUUUAUACCAAUUCUGGAGUUGCCAUCUUGGCUUUGGCAUCCAAUGCAAUUCAUCUACUCUGGAAGUGGCCUCGUAAUGAACGCAAUUCAAGUGGGAAAGUAUGAAGAAAUAGAUAGUUACAUAUGCUACAGUUUACUGUUACAAGUUCAAAUUUGUGGUGAUGUUCAGUAACAAUGCUUUAUUUUGUAGGCUACAGCAAGUGUUUCCCCACAGUUAUGGCAACCGCCAAGUGGCAUCUUGAUGACUAAUGACAUAACUGAUGCAAAUCCUGAGGAAGUAGUCCCAUGUUUUGCUUUGUCAAAGAAUGAUUCUUAUGUCAUGUCUGCAUCAGGCGGGAAAAUCUCCCUAUUUAACAUGAUGACAUUUAAGGUUGGCUUGAAACUAUUAUAAAACGAAGUUGCAGUUUACAUUCUGCCCUGCAAUCAAUGUUUUCAAUAUUUAAAUUCACGUUUAUCAAGUGCAGACUAUGACGACAUUUAUGUCCCCACCACCGGCAGCGACAUUUCUUGCAUUUCAUCCUCAGGAUAACAACAUAAUCGCUAUAGGAAUGGAUGACUCCACAGUCCAGAUAUAUAAUGUUCGUGUUGACGAGGUAACAAACAGAAACCACUGUCUGCACCACUGCUCCAGUUCAUCAUUCUUAAAACCUGUUAUCUUUCUGCAGGUCAAAAGCAAACUAAAAGGUCACUCUAAAAGAAUUACUGGUCUUGCCUUCUCGCAUGUUUUAAAUGUACUGGUGUCAUCUGGAGCUGAUGCUCAGGUUAAAUGACCAGUUCUUUUGGAUUACUGUGGCAUUCUUGUCUGACAUAUAAAAUUUUACAUUCUUAUUAGAUCCUAUUCUGACCUCUCAACGACAUAUCUGAUUAUGUUUCUUGCUUGCAGAUUUGCGUGUGGGGAACAGAUGGGUGGGAGAAGCAGAGGAGCAGAUUUUUGCAAAUUCUGCCUGGGCGUACUCCAAGUGCACUUUCAGAUACCUGUGUACAGUUUCACCAGGAUCAGAUACAUUUCCUGGCUGCACAUGAGACCCAGAUUGCUAUAUUUGAAACCAAUAAGUUAGAGUGUGUAAAGCAGGUAGUCUUACACUUCCAUAUGAGACCCAGAUACAUUUCCAUAUAGGGAAUGCUACAAAUGUCAUACACUUUAUACUCAUUCUUAAAUGAAUUCUGCUCUCAGUGGGUUCCGCGUGAAUCUUCUGCUCCAAUCACGCAUGCCACGUUCUCAUGUGACAGUCAACUGAUAUACGUAAGCUUUUUGGAUGCCACCGUGUGCAUAUUUAGUGUCGCAAAUCUCAGGAUGCGAUGUCGGAUAAGUCCAGCUGCUUAUCUCCCUGCUAACAUCAGGUAUCUUAGAAAGGACCACUUCCACGUAUAUGGAUGUUAUCUGCUUAAUUAUGCUGCAUGUACAUUUAUCACCUACAUCAUGCUUGGUUAUCAGACAAACUAGAUAAAUGAAAUAUUUCCGGUGCUUUUUGAAAUUACAACUGGUCUAUUAACUGUUUGGUCAGCAGCAUGAAUUACUUCUGUGAUCAAGGUGUACCAUUUUUUGUGUAACAUCAUUUCUUACUGAUUUUGUCAUUUUACGUUGCGAUGUCUCCAUUUCUUUGAUUUUUUUGUAAUUGAAGUAUAAAGGCAGGCGCAGAUCUAUGAAUAGGAGAUGUUGUACGAGUAUCUACAGGACCUAAAAAAGACGAGCGAGGUUUCCACUUGUGCUUUUCCCGGAUAGGUCAUUCUAAAGCAUCUGAUUUUUGCUUGCAAAUAAAAGAAAAAAAAAAAGGGAUAUGCCUUUUAGAUAUCAUAAAGCAACUUGCCAUUGCACGCCUGCCUUGUUAUUGUUAUGUCAGUACCAUGCCCAACCCUCGGGUGUGCCCUGAAGGCAUGCUCAAGAUGCCAUGACCAGCUAUUGUUGCUGACUUGCAAGUGUUCCCUGUUUCAGCUCAAAUGUGUAUCCACUUGUGGUUGCUGCACAUCCAUCAGAACCAAAUCAGUUUGCUUUGGGACUAACAGAUGGGGGUGUCCAUGUUUUCGAGCCACUGGAAUCUGAAGGCAAAUGGGGUGUUCCUCCACCUGCUGAGAAUGGGUCAGGGAGCAGCAUGUCCACAGCACCCCCAGCUGGAGCCUCAGGUUCAGAUCAACCACAGAGGUGAUGAUAAUAAUAUGUCUGGCCUGUCCAAUCCUUGUAGAAUUUUAGUGAAUUAGUCUGUUGGAUAAAUUAAUGGUUCUAGCCUGAUUGUUGGUACAUUCAAAGGCAAAACGUCCUGUUUUGGUGUGGGCAAAUCUGGAUAUAACCUUCCAGUCUCGAAACACUUUACUGGUGGUUUUCAGAUUCCACUAAUUAUAUUGAUAGGAAUGACCUCCAUGAUGGAUUAUUUCACAGAUGGUUCAAGACCAUGGCCAGCCAAAUCACAAAUAAAGGCAAAAACUUCAAAUGGCACGUAUCCAUUCUUAAAUUAAAAUGUGUUUUAACUUUCAUCUUCUUAAAUCUUGUACCAUUGUGUGAGUAGGUAAAACUCUGACAAGCUAUUUGAUUGACAAUCUUUGCUAGAACAGGUUUAGGAAAGACUUAUAACUUAUUGAGUUUUAAAAUGUGGUCGUUUUGUUGUUUUUUGAUAAAAUCUGUUCUGCCGAAACUGUUAUGAAACUUUAGAAACCUUUACGGAAGACUGGUCUCUCUCUUUUCCAUAAAUUCCAUCAUAUAGAAUCAUGCUUUCCAGUUAUCUUUUUAACAAAAAACUCGUAGCUAACCAAGUAGCUCCUAAAAGAACUACAACGGCUGAUCUACCGACCAGGGUUUGACCCUAGCAGGUUGUGCCUCUAUCAUUAUAGAAGUCGUACGACUUGAUUAUUGAGGUGUUCCACAAUUUAUAUUGAUUACCCUAGGAGGCAUUGAUGAAGAUCAUAACAUCACCAUUCGUUCAAGGUGUAGACCCGCUAAAUCACAAAGAGGAUUUCUACAUGUUACCCUAUUGCAUGAGCACAUCAAAGAUUGGAACUGUAAAAGAGCUUUAAUGUUUGAUCUGCUUACCAGAGCUUAGCCCAAGUGUUUUGUGCUUUCCCUAAUUUGGCAAAGGCCAUAUAGGUUUAAUUACUAUUAAGAGGCAUUGGUGAAGAUGUUCGUAUCAUAUGGUGAUGACCUGUAGAGAGUUGUUUGGCUUGAGAUUGUUUGUGUUAGGGUCCAUGUGUUUAGUUCUGCAUCUGUUGUAAGAUGAUAGGUUUCGGCUAGCUUUUUUGUAUGAGGUCUAGAAUUAUUAAAAUGGUAUCAGAGAAAAUUUAGCUCAUAACCUGCAUCUGUUGUAAGAUAAUGGGUUCCGGCUAGCUUUUUCCCUUCAGACUAGGCUCCAGCGCCGCCUCCAUUGUGAUUAGAUGCACAGCCUUUUACCAAGCUCUCAUUUGUCAUCACCAUUUUUUCCACCCAUGAAUCAGCGAAAAUCUCAUACCCUUUAGUUGGUUAGCCUCAAACUCACUUCCAUUGUCACAUCAAUAAACUGCCCUUCAUUGGUAAAGAAAGAUUGUGCACAAAAUCUAGCAUCAUGCACCACACCAUCCACAAGUUUACCAUAAGGCGUGGGGCAAAAACUGCUCUCAAAGAACAGUAACUAGUAUCAAAUGAACCUAUAAACAAACAGAAGCUAUAGCAGACAUUUCGACAGUUAACAACUACAAAAAGCACAAAUCUCAUGCUCCCCAUGGAACGACAGAUCACGAGGCAAGGACCGACCGUGCAUUGUGACGAACAUUGUUACGGCCAAGGCCCAAACCCAACCCCAGAGGGACCCCAUCAGUGUUACGGUUAUGGUUGCACUGUGAAGAAUUUACAUGUCCAUGAGAUCUAGCAUUUUUGGAAUGCAUGUCAAUGCAAACAUGGCCAUUGCUGUUUCCAUGUUGAGAAUGGCCAUCUCCAUUCUGCAAAUUCGUACUCCUUGUCAUUGGAAUCAUCCCCAUUUCCUCAGAAGGUGAUGCUUGCUCUGGACACUCAACAUCUUCAUUGUAACCAUUUAUCAGAAAGUCUGAACAGUUCUUGCGAAUGCCAUGAUCAUAUGGGUUUCUGAACCGACCGCCUGGUCCUCUGAGAUAGCUAUACCGCAAUGCAUUUGCCAUCUCAUUUGUUGUUAUGUUCCUAGAGAUCUGCAUAAAAAGAAGAAACAAUUAGGAAGGCUUGGUCUCCAUCAACAAAAACUACUAGAGACAAGAAAAGCAAAUUUGCUGAUACAAGAAUGCACCAUAACAUUAUUCUGGAAGCUUGCAACUAUGGCACUAAUAAUUAGACACAAUGAACUUUGAUGCACAUAAUUUAUCAGAACCAUUCCUUGCUGGGUGAUGAAGCUUACAAAUGAAAAUUUCCACCCAUCAGCACAUAUUAGGAUCCAAGACUAGGCCCAGUCAAAUUCUAUUUUCAAUGAACUUGACCCACUUUUGAUUUGCGACUUUCUAGCUCUGAUAUGUUAAUUCUUUUUUCCCUAAUUUAUGCUUGCAUUGUUUAAUUUGUUUUUGAAGUUACAAUUUCUUUAAAAGCAUGCUUAAUCAAAAUCCUGCAUAUUCAUAGAUUACCAGGGAAGAAGAUUGUAUUCUCACAAAUAUUUGGAAUUAGCAGCAGAUUUAAAACAGAUGGGCAAAUGGGAAACGGGUAAACAACAAUAUCACUCUGAACCAAGAGUCCAGAGAGACAGACAGAGAGAUGCCAAUAAGUAAUGGAACGUAAUAUUCUAAAGUAAUUACACAGUUCAACUUUAAUAUCAUAAAAAACCAAAUUGAAAGAUAAUUUGUGAUCCAAACUCGGAAGCAUAAGAAUGUGCAAAUAGAACCAUGCCACAGAAUAUUCGGUACAUCAAUCAUUAAGUAAGCCAAAAGAAUAAAAAUAAAUAUACAAAAUCAUGAAACUUAAAAUGUGCUGCUUCCAAUUGGAAAAAAGAACUGCAGCAUUAAAACUUUUAUGACACCACUGCAUGCCAUUUCAAAAUGCAUAAGAACGGCAGUACGCCAAAUUAAGCAUUUAUCAAAAAGCUAAAGAAAAUAUGCACACCUGUGAUGCUUGUACAGCUGUUAAAACUGCAACUCCAAAGAUAAGAAAGAAGUCCAUCAUCAGAAAUGAUAUGGCUCCGGGAUGGUAAGUAGCAGAAUGGCUCAGCCAUGAACCAAAAGAUGUUGGAGCAGUUGGAUCUUUUACUAUUCCUACAACACAAAAUUAGUUUCCUUUCAAUGCAAGUGGAAGUGGAACAUUGGCACAAUUUAAAAAGGAAAAAGUUUUAAAAGAACAAACUUCAUUAACACAUACUAAUUAUGGUUACUGCACCAGUAACAAUCAUAGCAGAAACUUCUAGAAUGAGAAACAUGAAGAAAUCCCACUUGUUUCUCUGCAAUUACAAGUUAUCAUUUAUUUAAUAAUAAAAAGAGGCACAGUAUAUGGAGCAGGAGAAAAACCGUGUGCCUCUGGAUAGAUAAGAGGCACAGAAAAGGCUAGACAGAAAGAAACAGAGAAGCAAGUCAUGAGUGUUGAAGCACCUUGCCAAUACAAUUUGAUACCCAAGGACAGUGAUGAUCAAACUGCUCAACACAGCGAUCACAAGUGGAACAAUGCUUUGCACGCAGAGGCCUGACAAUCUAGGAGAUAUUCAAGCAUAAGCUGAAUGAGAAAUUUAGAGUACAAAUGCCAAUGGGCAGAAAAUAUCCUUAAAAUUACAAUAUAUGGAAAACAUACCUUGCACGUUGCACAGAGCUGGGACCAAUUUCCAGAUAGCAGAGCAGGAUUAUUUAGUUCCAUCUUUAGUAAAGGCUCCUGUAGGCAAAAAUAUAGAAAUCAGUAAUUUAGGUCUUGUUUGGCAUCAUUGUUUUUUUGUGUUUUUGUUUCUCUAUGAAUUAGUGAAAUACCAGAUGGAGAUUGAUAUUGAAGUGGAGUUUGUAUAGAACUUCUACUAUUCCUUGUGAUUUUUCAAUCUUUUUUGAAAUCAAUAAAUCCUUGCUACCAUAACUCUGAAGGUUUUACAAACAAUUUCAAGAAACAAAGUUAUAUAUUCAGAUUAGUUCAUAUUUCUUCUUGGAUUUUCGAAAACAAAAGCAAUACCAAAUGGGCCUUCAAUAAUUAUUGCCUUGAGGAUUAAAGAUUGAACAACCAAUCAAUUACAUUAUUAUAUAAAAUAACAGCUUGUAUCAGUAUCUUCUUUUAUGUGCUAAAAUUCAGAUUUCCCAAGAUAAUGAUAAAUGCUCCAGCAGCAGCCAGGAGUAUGCAAAAUGUGAUUUUCUUUUCACAAUUGAGAGAAAACUACAUAAUUUAGGAUUUACUUUGAGCUACCAUAAUUACAAUAUCAGCAACACAGCUAACACCAGAUAUCAAGAUAGAGGCAACUAAUACCACAGAUAAAUGUGGAUGGCCAAAGAAUCCUUGUAAAGAAAGCAUCAAGAUAGGAGUAAGAAAGUUACGAGAAGAUGAGGAAAUUUGGAAUUCCCCAAGAUAAAAUCAAUAUACCAUAAUUAUCAAGUUUCAAAACCAAUCUGCUCAAGCCUUUCCCCUAGCUACAUAAAUAGAUCCCCAACAAAACUAACUCAAGGGAACUUCUUGUCAGACUUUAGAUCUAACUAAAAGGAUUCCUACUUGGAAUAUUAAAAGACUGAGUAUGUUCAUCACAAAAUUGCAACUGUAAUAUUGGCCAGUUUUUGACUUUCACACGUUGGGAUUUGGCCAAGAGCUAUGAAAUAUCAAUUGUAGAUAUCAAAGAUAUUUUUCCAACAAAACGAUGAUCAUCAGAAUCCAAUAUUUUUGCUAAAAGGUAUGUUCAAUCUAGCAGACCUUCAGAUCAUUGAUACAUCACCAACUUUGUUGGUUUUGAUGGUGCAAAGUUAAAGAGAAAAAAAAAAAAACUCAAUUGUUAUCCAGCAUAAAGAAUUGCCUUUUCUUACAUUAUGUUGCAAAAUAAAAUGAAGAAAUUCUUUAAUUUAGUGAAAACAAGAUAUACAAUAAAAUAAAAAACGGUCAUAUAUCGAGAGGUGGACUAAAACCCGGUCAAGUAGAUCUCAACUCAGGUCCGGUCAAUCCUAAUUGGACAACAGGGUCUAGUAUCGAUGGUUCGAACUGUUGGAUGUGAUCCACUACUCCUAAAUUGCUUAACCACCAAAAAUCAUGUAAUUUAGAGAUCCCUAGUCUAUAAAUCGAAUGAACGAAAAAUUGAUAGUUUAAAUAACACGAAACAAUGCAUUUGUUUGACCACUUAAUGCAUAGCCUAUGGGUCUCCAAAUCAUAUAACUUUUGGCAUGUAAGCAGUUUAGAGAAAGUCGAUAACAUCCACUGGCUAGAAUCAUCGAUGUUGGACCCCCUCCCCUCCCAAAGCAAUGCUAACUCUAUAAUACCAAUCUUGCACCUACAUAUUUUGUUUCUAAACCUUUCUUUCCAUCCACUUCAUUAAUAUUCUAUUGAUCACCUCAUCUCUCUUAAUACCUCCUCAUAUACAAAAAGGAAAAAUGAUAAAAUCACUAUCAAAAAAUUCCAUAACCAUCAUUAUUAAUAAGGUCUAAGAGGUUUCACAAAAAGAUGAUAGUGUUGACAGCUAUGUUACUUGGGUAUGGUUACAUGUCUAACCGUAGGAUCCUUUUAGUCAUUAAGAAUUUCUUCUUGCACAUCCAUACCCAAGUGUCACACCCAGGGUCGACGGAACCGUCCCGAACCGGGCGGUUCUAGCCGUACGAAGCCGUUCCGGCGGCAGACCGGGACGGUUCCGACAACAGAAACGAAACCCGUUGCUAGAGAAGGAGAAGAAGGAAAGAAAGGAAAAGUGAGAACGAGCAGGGAAGAGAGGGAAAGGGAGAGGGAGGGAGAGAGGAGGGUGGCGGAGGCCGGCGUCCGGGCAGGAGGCGAACGUCGCAAACAGGUCCCCCUCCUUCGUUCGAAAUAAGAGUUCAGCCGUUUUUUAAUUUUGCGAUUUUUAAGAAAAUUGGCAAAUCAUUUGUUAACUUCACUUAAAUAUCGUGAAUAAAAAAAGGUGUGAUUUGCCGACUUCACUUAAAAAUCGCAAAAUUAAAAGCGGUCAAAGCCCCGUUUCAAACGAAAUAGGGGACCCAGUCGCGGCCUCCGCCUUUUGCCCGGGCGCCGACCUCCGCCGGCCCUUCGCCACCCUCCUCUCUUCCUCCCUCUCUCCCCCUCCUCUCUCUCUUUUCCUCUCUCCCAUUCACCCUCUCUCCUACCUCCUCUACUGUGUCGGUACAAGCCCGGCACGGCAUGGUGCAGGCCCAUACCGACCCAUGCCGCCGGGCAACCGAUCCGGUGCUCGGUACUAGCACAGCAUAUCAUGGUCACACCCCUACCCAUUUCUAAGUGUUGGGUGCAAGAACUCUGCAGUAAGCUAAAGGGUAUGAGUUACUCAGGUCAGCAGCAAAGAUGAGGUGACAAACAAAUCCUUGCAUUUCCAAGCAUGUUAUUAUUUAGGCUAUUUCUUUGGCAAAGUGGCUCAAAGCACCCUUAAAUAGGUUAUUUUAAAAUUUACAAAUAUCCAUGAGAAUGAAUUCCGGCACAUUAGGUAACAUAAUUAAAAAACAAGCUCUGCUUAACAUACAUUAUGAUUCAAUCUCACAUUUAUAGCUUCAAAACUUUCCAAUGAAACGUUCAAUAUGUAUUAGAAUAUAAACCAACAUAGAUGGAAAAUGCAUGAUCUAACAUGGGAUAAAUCUUUUAAAUCUCCUUGUGUUCAAAUAGAGACAUGUUGGCAGGAACAUAUCAACAAACUAACAAAGAGAAUCUUACUUAAUAAAGUUGUGUUACAUCACAUAAGGUAUAAAAACAACAAGCUAUCUUAAAGUACAUUUGCCUCCGACUGCAUGCUGCACUGCAUAAGAGAACUUUAUAGUACAAUGUGGAGUCACGUAUUCGUGAAUUGUUUUCUAUCAUAAAGUGUUUCAUUCUUUUCUCUUGAACGCAGAAAGAAA